UGUGUAGGCGGGCUUGUAAGUCAGAGGUGAAAUCCUGCGGCUCAACCGUAGAACUGCCUUUGAUACUGCAGGUCUUGAGUCCUGGAGAGGUUGCUAGAAUUCGUGGUGUAGCGGUGAAAUGCGUAGAUAUCACGAGGAAUACCGGUUACGAAGGUUGGCAACUGGACAGGCACUGACGCUGAGGCACGAAAGCGUGGGGAGCAAACA
This 207-nucleotide ribosomal RNA is filed under the name uncultured bacterium. RNAcentral describes it as "partial 16S ribosomal RNA". It matches the Rfam family "Bacterial small subunit ribosomal RNA", at positions 568 to 774 of the family's 1533-position model. The record is from RNAcentral.